Molecule: small RNA, 2523 nt
Filed under: Oryza sativa Japonica Group (Japanese rice)
Lineage: Eukaryota; Viridiplantae; Streptophyta; Magnoliopsida; Poales; Poaceae
Description: sRNA Os01g0848250
Source: RNAcentral
UGAUGUUUGACGUGACUUCUAGAAAAUAAAAAAUGAAUUGCAACGAUAGUUGUGCUUAAUUUUUAGAAUCACAAUGAUAAUAAAGAAAGAGUAGGCGGCGGACGGGCCAUAAAGGAGCAUAGUGGCAUUGUUUGACGAGACUUCUAAAAAUUAUAAAAAAUAAAACCCAACAAGACAAUAAACUCUAAAAACUACAAGGUUCAAUUUUUAAAGGUUCCGAACUUCGAAAAGGUAAAAAAAAACAAUGAUAAUCAUGUUCGAUUUUAAAAUCUCAAUGACAAUAAAGAAGGGACUCAGCGGGCGAGCCGUAGAGAAGUACAAUGGAAAAGCCGCUGAUGGUUUGGCGGGAUUUCUAGAAAGUAAAAAUGAACCGAAACGAUAAUUAUGUUCGAUUUUUAAAAUCUCAAUGACAAUAAAGAAAAGAGACAGUAGACGGGCCAUAGAGGAGUAUAAUGGCAACGUUUGACGGGACGUCUAGAAAUUAUAAAAACGAAACCCAACAUGACAAUAAACUCUAAAAACUAUAAGAUCUAAUUUUUAAAGGUUUCAAGGAGAAUGAAUAGAAAUAGUGGUAUAUCGAGCAAGCAAAUAAAGAAGGAGAUGUCAUAAGGGGUAGCAACUGGUGUGACUUUUAAAAAAUAUAUAUAAUUAGAAACACGGGGAUGAUAAGGUUUAAUCUUUCAAACUCUUAAGACAUGAGAUAGCUAUUUAAUAAAUUUUAAGUAAAAUCAUACUAAAAAAUUAUAUGAUUUUAUUUAGGUGCUAGCCGCGCAAUUGCGCGGGCUACCCAGCUAGUUUCAUAAUAACACACCAAAUGUAGGAAUUAAGAUGCAGCACUUUGAUACUAUUGAAUACUGUCUCUACCAGAGCCUCGUACAGGUGGUUAAUAGUAGCAACUAAAGCAGUCCACGAGUUUUCUAAAACAAAAUUGUGAUGCAGGCAUGCAGCUGCUCUCCAUUCUCAACUAUUAUUAUCAGGAAAGUGCUUCCAAAAUAUCAAAAUAUUACCGUCUUAGUCAAUGUGUAAACACUUGUGUACAAAUACAACACCACGUGACAGUGUAACUAACCAUCAUAAGUAGAACAUAUAGUUCUUAUACACUGAAAAAUAAUAUAAAUCGUUGUUGCAGUUGCAGUAUAUUAUCUUUUAGACAUAUAUUUAUUGGUUAACAUUUGUGCUACAAUUCAUGCAACGAUAGAAGAAAACAAGCUUUACUCACCUGGCAAUUACAACAGGUAUUCCUUUUGAUGAAGCAGUAAAAGCAGCUGCUACUUUAGCUUGCAUUCCACCUCUUCCCACACGAGAUUUCUCCCCAAAGCUAAUUAACUUCCCAUGUUGUUCAUGGACGUAUGUGUGGAUAAUCUUCGAUUGUGGAUCGCUAGGUGGACCGCUAUAGAGCCCCUCCACAUCACUGAGCAUGAUAAGGAGAUCAGCUUUAAGUUCUUGCGCUAACAGUCUGGCCAAACUAUCGUUAUCCCAGAAUAUGCCAGAUGAAUCCUACACACGGUUGAUCAUUACAAUCAGUAAAGUGUAAAAGGUUAGUGUUUGUUGUUAAUGGAAUUUGGAAUACGUAUAUAUCAGUGAAGCUCCCAGUGCACACAAAUCACAUUAGGAAACACACCUCGUAUGGUUGCCUCCUGGUACUGAUGGCGUCAUUCUCAUUAAAUACUGGUAUAACCUUGAGAUCUAACAGAGAAUUAACAGUCUCGCGGAGCUGGUUCCCAAAACUUGGAUCCAUAAAAUCACGAUCCGUAACAAGAAGCUGAGAUGAUGUUACGUCAAGCUGCAGCGAAGGAAGUUUAACGUGUCAAAAUAUAUGCAAAAAAAUCAUAUUUUUUACACAAAAAUCCAUCAGGAAUGGCACGCCAACCUGGCUAAAUAACGUGUCAUAGAUCGCCAUCAGCACACUCUGACCGACGGCAGCGCAGGCCUUCCCGUCCAUGUCCAUCUGUGGGUUCUGCAGAUCAGCGAAACUGCAAGCAAGAGAGAGAUCAGAAAUGAAUGCUACAGCAGAACACUGUUUACUGUUCAGAGCCAAUUAACUCUCUGCAACCUGCUAUUGACGAGCUUCCGGUACUUGAGCCUCUGCCUCCCAACACCAACAGCACCAGAGGUGACCAGAAUCACCUCGUACCCCUCAAAAUUUAGCUGCUUCACCUGGGAAAUUUAUCACACCGGUUAACUGACACUGAUUAGCACAAGCUCGGUUGGUCAGAGCAUUAACCUCUGGUAAAAAAAUUUGGGGGGAAAGUUUACCUGUUCACACAGAGCACCGAGCCUGCCCAUAGCCAACCGGCCAUUCGGCCCAGUCACAACAGCGGUGCCGACCUGUCGAAUUAAGCCAGCCAACAGAACAUAUAUUUAGAGGGAAAAAAAAUAAUAUCCUUCAUUAGAGAAUGGUACUAAUUAAUGAGUGGUAAAUAGUUAAACCUAAAAACAUAUUUAUGGUAAAUAGUUAAACCUAAAAAACGUAUGAAUGGUAAAGAGUUAAACAUAAAAAUAUAGCCAUAGUGAUUUUAAAUU